This 253-nucleotide ribosomal RNA is filed under the name uncultured prokaryote. Its description in RNAcentral is "partial 16S ribosomal RNA". It matches the Rfam family "Bacterial small subunit ribosomal RNA", at positions 524 to 776 of the family's 1533-position model. The record is from RNAcentral.
UACGUAGGGACCAAGCGUUGUUCGGAUUUACUGGGCGUAAAGGGCGCGUAGGCGGCAAUUCAAGUCAGCUGUGAAAUCUCCGGGCUUAACUCGGAACGGUCAACUGAUACUGCUCGGCUAGAGUGCGGAAGGGGCAACUGGAAUUCUUGGUGUAGCGGUGAAAUGCGUAGAUAUCAGGAGGAACACCUGCGGUGUAGGCAGCUUUCUGGACCACUUCUGACGCUGAGACACGAAAGCGUGGGUAGCAAACAGG